UGUCGUCAGUCAUACCACCCAAAGGCGGCCAAGCUCCUCUGAUCUCAGAAGCUAAGCAUGAUUGGGCCUGGUUAGUACUUGGAUGGGAGACUGUCUGGGAAUACCUGGUGCUAUGAGAU
RNAcentral lists this ribosomal RNA (119 nucleotides) under Castor canadensis (American beaver). The record is from RNAcentral. Lineage: Eukaryota; Metazoa; Chordata; Mammalia; Rodentia; Castoridae.